Molecule: ribosomal RNA, 426 nt
Filed under: uncultured bacterium
Lineage: Bacteria
Description: bacterial SSU rRNA
Rfam family: Bacterial small subunit ribosomal RNA
Source: RNAcentral
GUGAGGAAUUUUCCGCAAUGGGCGAAAGCCUGACGGAGCAAUGCCGCGUGAAGGAUGAAGGCCUAUGGGUUGUAAACUUCUUUUCUCAGAAAAGAAUUAUGACGGUAUCUGAGGAAUAAGCAUCGGCUAACUCUGUGCCAGCAGCCGCGGUAAGACAGAGGAUGCAAGCGUUAUCCGGAAUGAUUGGGCGUAAAGCGUCUGUAGGUUGUUUAAAAAGUAUUCUGUCAAAGAUUAGGGCUUAACCCUAGAUAGGCAGAAUAAACUUUUAAGCUAGAGUGUGGUAGAGGCAGAGGGAAUUCCCGGUGGAGCGGUGAAAUGCGUAGAUAUCGGGAGGAACACCAAAGGCGAAGGCACUCUGCUGGGCCAAUACUAACACUGAGAGACGAAAGCGAGGGGAGCAAAUGGGAUUAGAAACCCCAGUAGUCC